Molecule: ribosomal RNA, 702 nt
Filed under: Triticum aestivum (bread wheat)
Lineage: Eukaryota; Viridiplantae; Streptophyta; Magnoliopsida; Poales; Poaceae
Description: partial small subunit ribosomal RNA
Source: RNAcentral
AUGCCCGCCCGGGCUCAAAUCCCCUCCCCCACGAGCUCCUCCUCGACGCGCCGCCACCCACGCUCAGACCUCGCCGCCGCCAACUACCCUCAGACCGCGCCGCCGCCUAUGGCCUCCGCCCAUGCCCCCGUCCUCUCUCCUGCCCUCCACUCCCCCGAAGAAAAGAGAAGAGAAGAGACGCAUGUAGAUCGAACGACCAGAUCGAGCGGCGGCCAGAUCCAUCCGCCACGGUUGCCCAGGGCUCGCGCGCCUCCGACGACGUGGCCCUGCCCGUGCGUCAAGGGCCUGGACGGAGAUGCUUCUGCUCCGCAAUGGCCAUGGAGCUUCCUCCCAAUCCAAAGUCUUGGACUGGACGGGGACGGCUGCUCUUCCAAGAUUGACUCAAAAAAUUUAUGUCUGCUUUACCUACGCAAGGGCACAAUGAUGAAUUUUACGGACGAUGCUCCUGUAAAGAAGAGCUCUGUUCUCUUGACAAGGAUGGAAAGUAUAACAGCAUACAAAAACAAACGUGGACAACCCAGAUUGGAACUCCAGAACAAUCUGACACUCCAGUGUCUGCUAAUGACAUGUGUUCCCUUGUCGAAUGGCCAUGCCAUGCUCGCCGCAACCGUGCGCUACUACAGGAUGGUGCUUGCUUUUGUUUUUAUUUGUGUCAUCAUUUCUUACAAUCUAAUACCGAGUAAUACAAUAUUUCUUGUAUAA